AGCUCCAAGAGCGUAUAUUAAAGUUGUUGCAGUUAAAAAGCUCGUAGUUGAACCUUGGGGGCACUGCGCCGGUCCGCCGCAAGGCGAGCACUGGAGGCGGCGCCCCUUUCCUCUGUCGUCUCCCCUUGUGGGGGGUGACAGAAUAUUACUUUGAGUAAAUGAGAGUGUUCAAAGCAGGCGCACGCUUGAAUCUGUUAGCAUGGAAUAAUAGAAUAGGACGCAUGGUUCUAUUUUGUUGGUUUCUAGGACCAUCGUAAUGAUUAAUAGGGACGGUCGGGGGCAUCAGUAUUCAGUUGUCAGAGGUGAAAUUCUUGGAUUUACUGAAGACUAACUACUGCGAAAGCAUUUGCCAAGGACGUUUUCA
This 364-nucleotide ribosomal RNA is filed under the name uncultured eukaryote. RNAcentral's name for it is "SSU rRNA". It matches the Rfam family "Eukaryotic small subunit ribosomal RNA", at positions 587 to 972 of the family's 1831-position model. The record is from RNAcentral.